GACGAACGCUGGCGGCGUGCCUAAUACAUGCAAGUCGUGCGGACCUUGUUGAAAGCUUGCUUUUAAAAGGUUCGCGGCGGUCGGGUGAGUAACACGUGGGCAACCUGCCUGUAAGACUGGGAUAACGCCGGGAAACCGGGGCUAAUACCAGAUCGUUUUUUCCUCCGCAUGGAGGAAAAAGGAAAGGCGGCUUCGGCUGCCACUUACAGAUGGGCCCGCGGCGCAUUAGCUAGUUGGCGGGGUAAUGGCCCACCAAGGCAACGAUGCGUAGCCGACCUGAGAGGGUGAUCGGCCACAUUGGGACUGAGACACGGCCCAAACUCCUACGGGAGGCAGCAGUAGGGAAUCUUCCGCAAUGGACGAAAGUCUGACGGAGCAACGCCGCGUGAGUGAAGAAGGCCUUCGGGUCGUAAAACUCUGUUGCCGGGGAAGAACAAGUGCCGUUCGAACAGGGCGGCGCCUUGACGGUACCCGGCCAGAAAGCCACGGCUAACUACGUG
Molecule: ribosomal RNA, 500 nt
Filed under: uncultured bacterium
Lineage: Bacteria
Description: partial 16S ribosomal RNA
Rfam family: Bacterial small subunit ribosomal RNA
Source: RNAcentral